UACGUAGGGUGCAAGCGUUGUUCGGAUUUAUUGGGCGUAAAGGGUCCGCAGGGGGUCCGCCAAGUCUGAUGUGAAAUCCCGAGGCUCAACCUCGGAACUGCAUUGGAAACUAGCAGACUAGAGUAUUGGAGAGGUAAGUGGAAUUUCUGGUGGAGCGGUGGAAUGCGUAGAUAUCAGAAAGAACACCGAGAGCGAAGGCAGCUUACUGGACAAUUACUGACCCUCAGGGACGAAAGCAUGGGUAGCAAACAGG
RNAcentral lists this ribosomal RNA (253 nucleotides) under uncultured bacterium. RNAcentral's name for it is "partial 16S ribosomal RNA". It matches the Rfam family "Bacterial small subunit ribosomal RNA", at positions 524 to 776 of the family's 1533-position model. The record is from RNAcentral.